Molecule: ribosomal RNA, 1234 nt
Filed under: metagenome
Description: SSU rRNA
Rfam family: Eukaryotic small subunit ribosomal RNA
Source: RNAcentral
UACACUUUAAAUCCUUUAACGAGGAUCUAUUGGAGGGCAAGUCUGGUGCCAGCAGCCGCGGUAAUUCCAGCUCCAAUAGCGUAUAUUAAAGUUGUUGCGGUUAAAAAGCUCGUAGUUGGAUCUCGGUUUCACUCAGGUGGUACACCUUGCGGUGUUCACUAUCUGGGUGGACGUUUCUGUUGGUUCGCUCUUGGUGCUCUUCAUCGGGUGCCAUUUGGUGGCCAGCACGUUUACUUUGAAAAAAUUGGAGUGCUCAAAGCAGGCGUUACAGCCUGAACAUUAGUGCAUGGAAUAAUGGAAAAGGAUCUCGAUUCUAUUUCGUUGGCUUUCGGAGUCGAGGUAAUGAUUAAUAGGGACAGACGGGGGCAUUCGUACUGCGACGUUAGAGGUGAAAUUCUUGGAUCGUCGCAAGACGAACUACUGCGAAAGCAUUUGCCAAGAAUGUUUUCAUUAAUCAAGAACGAAAGUUAGAGGUUCGAAGGCGAUCAGAUACCGCCCUAGUUCUAACCAUAAACGAUGCCAACCGGCGAUCCGUCGUCGUUAAUUGAAUGACUCGACGGGCAGCCUCCGGGAAACCAGAGUGUUUGGGUUCCGGGGGAAGUAUGGUUGCAAAGCUGAAACUUAAAGGAAUUGACGGAAGGGCACCACCAGGAGUGGAGCCUGCGGCUUAAUUGACCCAACACGGGAAAUCUCACCAGGCCCGGACACCGGAAGGAUUGACAGAUUGAGAGCUCUUUCUUGAUUCGGUGGGUGGUGGUGCAUGGCCGUUCUUAGUUGGUGGAGCGAUUUGUCUGGUUAAUUCCGAUAACGAACGAGACUCUGGCCUACUAACUAGAAGGUCUAUCCUUUAUGGGUAGGCCUCUGCUUCUUAGAGGGACGGGCGGCGUUUAGCCGCACGAGAAUGAGCAAUAACAGGUCUGUGAUGCCCUUAGAUGCUCUGGGCUGCACGCGCGCUACACUGAAGGAAUCAGCAUGUUCUCCCCUCCCUGAAAUGGGCGGGUAACCCGUUGAAACUCCUUCGUGAUGGGGAUUGGAGAUUGUAAUUAUUCUCCAUGAACGAGGAAUUCCCAGUAGGCGCGAGUCAUCAGCUUGCGUCGAUUACGUCCCUGCCCUUUGUACACACCGCCCGUCGCUACUACCGAUCGAGUGAUUUAGUGAGGACUUCGGACUGGUCUUCAAGUUGGCUUCGGUCGGCUCGAAGUUCCGGAAAGAUGCCCAAACUUGAUCACUUAGA